GGGUAUCUAGUUUAAAAAUGUGUGGCGUGACCCGGUCAACCAACCAAGAUGGCCGCCACGGCUAAAAAUAGAACAUAGGGGUAAAAUGCAGUUUUUGGCUUAUAACUCAAAAACCAAAGCAUUUAGAGGAAAUCUGACGGGGUAAAUAUGUUUAUCAGGUCAAGAUCUAUCUGCCCUGAAAUUUUCAGAUGAAUCGGUCAACCCGUUGUUGGGUUGCUGCCCCUGAAUUGGUCAUUUUGAGGAAAUUUUGCUGUUUUUGGUUAUUAUCUUGAAUAUUAUUAUAGAUAGAGAUAAACUGUAAACAGCAAUAAUGUUCGGCAAAGUUAGAUUUACAAAUAAGUCAACAUGACCGAAAUGGUCAGUUGACCCCUUUAGGAGUUAUUGCC
This 386-nucleotide long non-coding RNA is filed under the name Mytilus galloprovincialis (Mediterranean mussel). The record is from RNAcentral. Lineage: Eukaryota; Metazoa; Mollusca; Bivalvia; Mytilida; Mytilidae.